RNAcentral lists this ribosomal RNA (802 nucleotides) under uncultured bacterium. RNAcentral describes it as "bacterial SSU rRNA". It matches the Rfam family "Bacterial small subunit ribosomal RNA", at positions 8 to 796 of the family's 1533-position model. The record is from RNAcentral.
AGAGUUUGAUCAUGGCUCAGAACGAACGUUAGCGGCGNNCCUAACACAUGCAAGUCGAACGCGACAGGGGCAACUCUGUUGAGUGGCGCACGGGUGAGUAACACGUAGGUAAUCUCCCCCCGAGUGGUGGAUAACCCUCCGAAAGGAGAGCUAAUACAGCAUAAGACCACGGCUUCGAAAGGAGCUGAGGUCAAAGCGGAGGAUCGUAAGACUUCGCGCUUGGGGAUGAGCCUGCGGCCCAUCAGGUAGUUGGCGGGGUAAUGGCCCACCAAGCCAUAGACGGGUAGCUGGUCUGAGAGGAUGAUCAGCCACACUGGAACUGAGACACGGUCCAGACUCCUACGGGAGGCAGCAGUGGGGAAUCUUGCGCAAUGGACGAAAGUCUGACGCAGCGACGCCGCGUGGGUGAUGAAGGCCUUCGGGUUGUAAAGCCCUGUGGGGAGGGACGAAUAAGUUCCGGUUAAUACCCGGAGCGAUGACGGUACCUCCUUAGCAAGCACCGGCUAACUCUGUGCCAGCAGCCGCGGUAAGACGGAGGGUGCAAACGUUGUUCGGAAUUACUGGGCGUAAAGCGCGUGUAGGCGGCCAUGCAAGUCGGAUGUGAAAGCCCUCGGCUCAACCGGGGAAGUGCACUCGAAACUGCAAGGCUAGAGUCUCGGAGAGGAUCGUGGAAUUCUCGGUGUAGAGGUGAAAUUCGUAGAUAUCGAGAGGAACACCGGUGGCGAAGGCGGCGAUCUGGACGAUGACUGACGCUGAGCGCGAAAGCGUGGGGAGCAAACAGGAUUAGAUACCCUAGUAGUCC